RNAcentral lists this microRNA precursor (53 nucleotides) under Paramuricea clavata. The record is from RNAcentral. Lineage: Eukaryota; Metazoa; Cnidaria; Anthozoa; Malacalcyonacea; Plexauridae.
CCAGGCUCUUUCCACUACGUUCCAGCGAGGAGCGUAGUGGAAAGAGCCUGGGU